This 431-nucleotide ribosomal RNA is filed under the name Selaginella arbuscula. RNAcentral's name for it is "partial large subunit ribosomal RNA". It matches the Rfam family "Eukaryotic large subunit ribosomal RNA", at positions 741 to 1172 of the family's 3401-position model. The record is from RNAcentral. Lineage: Eukaryota; Viridiplantae; Streptophyta; Lycopodiopsida; Selaginellales; Selaginellaceae.
GCCCGGCGGGGUGCACCAUUGACCGACCCAGAUCUUCUGUGAAGGGUUCGAGUGCAAGUAUACCUGUUAGGACCCGAAAGAUGGUGAACUAUGCCUGAGCAGGGCGAAGCCAGAGGAAACUCUGGUGGAGGCUCGCAGCGAUACUGACGUGCAAAUCGUUCGUAUGACUUGGGUAUAGGGGCGAAAGACUAAUCGAACCAUCUAGUAGCUGGUUCCCACCGAAGUUUCCCUCAGGAUAGCUGGAGCUCUUGCACGAGUUUUGUCAGGUAAAGCGAAUGAUUAGAGGCCUCGGGGGUGAAACACCCUCGACCUAUUCUCAAACUUUAAAUAGGCAAGGCGCCGGGGCUGCUUCGGUGAGCCCCGGCACUCGAAUCGGAGCUCCAAGUGGGCCAUUUUUGGUAAGCAGAACUGGCGAUGCGGGAUGAACCGAA